UGGUAGUNCACGCCGUAAACGAUGAGUGCUAGGUGUUAGACCCUUUCCGGGGUUUAGUGCCGCAGCUAACGCAUUAAGCACUCCGCCUGGGGAGUACGACCGCAAGGUUGAAACUCAAAGGAAUUGACGGGGGCCCGCACAAGCGGUGGAGCAUGUGGUUUAAUUCGAAGCAACGCGAAGAACCUUACCAGGUCUUGACAUCCCUCUGACCGCUCUAGAGAUAGAGUUUUCCUUCGGGACAGAGGUGACAGGUGGUGCAUGGUUGUCGUCAGCUCGUGUCGUGAGAUGUUGGGUUAAGUCCNGCAACGAGCGCAACCCCUAUUGUUAGUUGCCAUCAUUCAGUUGGGCACUCUAGCGAGACUGCCGGUAAUAAACCGGAGGAAGGUGGGGAUGACGUCAAAUCAUCAUGCCCCUUAUGACCUGGGCUACACACGUGCUACAAUGGCUGGUGCAACGAGUCGCAAGCCGGUGACGGCAAGCUAAUCUCUUAAAGCCAGUCUCAGUUCGGAUUGUAGGCUGCAACUCGCCUACAUGAAGUCGGAAUCGCUAGUAAUCGCGGAUCAGCACGCCGCGGUGAAUACGUUCCCGGGCCUUGU
Molecule: ribosomal RNA, 596 nt
Filed under: uncultured bacterium
Lineage: Bacteria
Description: bacterial SSU rRNA
Rfam family: Bacterial small subunit ribosomal RNA
Source: RNAcentral